RNAcentral lists this ribosomal RNA (473 nucleotides) under uncultured bacterium. Its description in RNAcentral is "partial 16S ribosomal RNA". It matches the Rfam family "Bacterial small subunit ribosomal RNA", at positions 355 to 816 of the family's 1533-position model. The record is from RNAcentral.
UGGGGAAUUUUGGACAAUGGGCGCAAGCCUGAUCCAGCAAUGCCGCGUGCAGGAUGAAGGCCUUCGGGUUGUAAACUGCUUUUGUACGGGAACGAAAAGCCUCUCUCUAAUACAGGGGGUGAUGACGGUACCGUAAGAAUAAGCACCGGCUAACUACGUGCCAGCAGCCGCGGUAAUACGUAGGGUGCAAGCGUUAAUCGGAAUUACUGGGCGUAAAGCGCGCGCAGGCGGUUUUGUAAGACAGUGGUGAAAUCCCCGGCUCAACCUGGGAACUGCCAUUGUGACUGCAAGGCUGGAGUGCGGCAGAGGGGGGAUGGAAUUCCGCGUGUAGCAGUGAAAUGCGUAGGUAUGCGGAGGAACACCGAUGGCGAAGGCAAUCCCCUGGGCCUGCACUGACGCUCAUGCACGAAAAGCGUGGGGGAGCAAAACAGGAUUAGAUACCCUGGUAGUCCACGCCCUAAAACGAUGUCAAC